This 207-nucleotide ribosomal RNA is filed under the name uncultured bacterium. Its description in RNAcentral is "partial 16S ribosomal RNA". It matches the Rfam family "Bacterial small subunit ribosomal RNA", at positions 568 to 774 of the family's 1533-position model. The record is from RNAcentral.
AGCGCAGGUGGUUGUAUAAGUCUGAAGUAAAAGGCAGUGGCUCAACCAUUGUGUGCUUUGGAAACUGUACAACUUGAGUGCAGAAGGGGGAGAGUGGAAUUCCAUGUGUAGCGGUGAAAUGCGUAGAUAUAUGGAGGAACACCGGUGGCGAGAGCGGCUCUCUGGUCUGUAACUGACACUGAGGCUCGAAAGGCGUGGGAGCAAACA